Molecule: transfer RNA, 75 nt
Filed under: Candidatus Yanofskybacteria bacterium RIFCSPHIGHO2_01_FULL_41_53
Lineage: Bacteria; Candidatus Yanofskyibacteriota
Also listed under: 9 other names
Description: tRNA-Met
Rfam family: tRNA
About the family: Transfer RNA (tRNA) molecules are approximately 80 nucleotides in length. Their secondary structure includes four short double-helical elements and three loops (D, anti-codon, and T loops).
Source: RNAcentral
GUCGGUGUAGCUCAGUGGUAGAGCACUUCCCUCAUAAAGAAGUUGUCGCAGGUUCGAUCCCUGCCACCGACACCA